RNAcentral lists this unclassified non-coding RNA (416 nucleotides) under fungal sp. RNAcentral describes it as "partial internal transcribed spacer region". The stretch from base 1 to 46 matches the Rfam family "Eukaryotic small subunit ribosomal RNA", at positions 1786 to 1831 of the family's 1831-position model. Lineage: Eukaryota; Fungi. The record is from RNAcentral.
AAGUCGUAACAAGGUUUCCGUAGGUGAACCUGCGGAAGGAUCAUUAACACGUAUCCAACGUUAAACCCCCCGUGAACCUUAAGCGUGCUCUUGCAGCCUCUAUAGGAACAGCAAUCCUGGUAAAUCAGUCCGAGAAAAGUUUUUGAUUCAGGACCUCUGUCUAAAAGGAUGCAAUCGAGCGCUGGAGCAAGUGGCUUGGUUUCCCCAAGCAGUUAGUAUUCUGAAAGUGUUGCUAAUUGUGCAAGGAUAACGCUUUACGAUUGCUGUAGGCCGAACACCGGCCGGCGACUCGGUCACCGGGCUCACGCCCCCUAGCUCAUAAACCCAAGUUAUCUAUAACGGACGCCUCCACAGCAAGUGCGCCGGAGCUUACGUCCAAAACCGAACAACUGUUAACAAUGGAUAUCUUGGUUCUC